GGCUGGUCCAAAGAUAGUGAGUUAUCUCAAUUGAUUGUUCACAGUCAGUUACAGAUCGAACUCCUUGUUCUACUCUUUCCUCUCUUUACACUACUGCACUUGACUAGUCUUAA
Cebus imitator (Panamanian white-faced capuchin) is the source of this 113-nucleotide unclassified non-coding RNA. It matches the Rfam family "Y RNA". Rfam says of the family: Y RNAs are components of the Ro ribonucleoprotein particle (Ro RNP), in association with Ro60 and La proteins. The Y RNAs and Ro60 and La proteins are well conserved, but the function of the Ro RNP is not known. NCBI's taxonomy places the organism in Eukaryota, Metazoa, Chordata, Mammalia, Primates, Cebidae. The record is from Ensembl.